RNAcentral lists this long non-coding RNA (327 nucleotides) under Ananas comosus (pineapple). RNAcentral describes it as "long non-coding RNA (ACOM_LNC028327)". The record is from RNAcentral. Lineage: Eukaryota; Viridiplantae; Streptophyta; Magnoliopsida; Poales; Bromeliaceae.
AUGGGCCUUGCCUGAGAACCCAAUUAAAGUUUUCAUAUGUGAGGUUUAGUCCCAUAUUGAAAACUAAUGGUGUGUUGUUGUGAUUUAUAUAUUUCUUCAUUCUCAAGCUAGUUACUUGGGAGAAAAUGAAAGUUAUGCUCUCGACUUAACACACGCACGCACGCAUGGCACGAACACGAGCCGAGCCAAGCCGCGCAGCCGACGGCGCACGUAGUCCAUGCACCCGGUUUAUUUUAUUUUAUUUUUUACUUUUUAUUUUUCGGUUUUAUCUUUAUCUUAAUCCGUAUAUCGUAUAAUCUUAGGCUUAUCUUGUUUUACACAGAAUUG